AAGGUGUGCGGUUACACGGCAUUGCACAGUGUCAGCUAUCCAACAGCUGGCGCUGCUGUGGCCACGACUGUUGGCAUGGGGACCCAAUGUGACAUAUGGUGCAUUUUUCCAUCCCGCCUCCAGCUAACUGCUGCUUUGCGAGCUGGUGCACACUUGGUCACAGAAUUGUAACGCGUCGGUGCGCUCUGUAUUACUCGGUAUGGUAUUACUCGGUAGCGCCAGCAAAGCCUUGGUAGGCGAUCUUAAUCCUUCAAACCGCUUGUCAUUUUAUUUAUUCCGACCCUGCUUCCGUUGCCGCUGUUGGUCCUGUCGCGAAACUGGGCGCACGCUCAUGGAACUUAGGGGUGGGUGGACCGUGACGACGACUACGUGCCUUCCUACCGGGACAUUGUUGGUGGCGAUGGCGACGAUGAAGGCGUCGCAGGAGACGAGGACGUUGAUGAUGAAGCGGACGAGAGAUAUUUGCGCGAGGUGGACGCGUUUGAGGCCAAGUACAACUUCAGGCAGGUGGUGGCUUUAAGGCACGGACUUGCUGGCUUGCACGCAAAUGGGUUUGGUUCGAAGGCCUUGCAUUCACAUUAGCUAAUCCAUGAUGACUGUUGUUGCUAGGCCUGUCCGCUGUAUACGCUUGGGUGCUAUCAGCGUGCGUGCUGCUUUUAUACUACUUAUCGUUGUGCUCCUUACGGGAGCUCAUUUAUGUGUUGCUGUUCCUUCCCAGUCUGAGUGUCUGUUGGUAUGGUUCGGCCUUGGAUGUCUACACCAGCUGCUGCCAUUUGAGACCACGCGGUAA
RNAcentral lists this long non-coding RNA (790 nucleotides) under Volvox carteri. RNAcentral's name for it is "long non-coding RNA (VCAR_LNC000183)". Lineage: Eukaryota; Viridiplantae; Chlorophyta; Chlorophyceae; Chlamydomonadales; Volvocaceae. The record is from RNAcentral.